GCCCGUUUAGCUCAGUUGGUAGAGCGCGACACUAGUAUCCAGUAUCCACUGAAUGCGUAAUGUCGAGGUCGGUCGUUCAAAUCGGCCAGGGGCA
Non-coding RNA from Taxawa tesnikishii (nom. ined.), 94 nucleotides. The record is from the annotation of a GenBank genome assembly. NCBI's taxonomy places the organism in Eukaryota, Fungi, Ascomycota, Dothideomycetes, Dothideales.